Molecule: long non-coding RNA, 4019 nt
Organism: Equus caballus (horse)
Lineage: Eukaryota; Metazoa; Chordata; Mammalia; Perissodactyla; Equidae
Source: RefSeq, a predicted model, not a curated record
CUUAGCUUUCAGCAUCACAGCAACACUCAGCCACCACAGUGUGACAACUGACAGACGGGUGGUGUGGUCUCUGACCAGGAAAUGAACCCUGGCCGCAGCAGUGAGAGCGCGGAAUCUUAACCACUAGACCGUGCGGGCUGGCCUCACCAUUUCUUAAUUGUCUAAUAAAAAUGUUUUAUUGUCUUAAAAUUUUUAACAGUUUUUUUGAAUCCAGAUUCAAAUAAGGUUCAAACAUUGGCAUUGGUUAAUGUGUCCCUUUAGUCUGCUUUUUAGAGAUUCCAUUUCCAUCCUUUGUUUCCUUUGUUCCUUGCAAUUUUGAUUUUGAUGAACCAGACUGUUUCAUCCUGUAGAGUUUCCCACAAUCUAUAUUUCGAGACGUGCCCCUCUGGGAAGUUGUUUAGUAAGUUCCUCUGCUUGCUGAAGCCUGAUCAGAUUCUGGGCAGAAUCUUCUUCGGCAAGAGUUCUUCAGAGGUGUUACUGGACGCUUCCGUCCGGGAUGCGUAAUGUCUGAUUGUCUAGCUUUGUGUGAUUUGCAGUCAUUGAUAAUUAUUGCAUAGCUCUGUUAACUAAGCAGGUUUGAAAAUUAUUGUAUUCUAUUUCUUCAUUGCUAGUAAUUUAAAUAAUUCUGUACAGAUAAUCUCCAUCAACUACUUGGGUGGGUACAGUUUGUGCAGGAAAUACAGAAUGAGUGCUUAGUACCGUUCCAUUAUUAAUAGUUUUCUUUUUCUAAUAAUUAUUGAUAUCUCUAGCCAAUUUUUCUGUGAUGAUUGACCUUUUUAUUCUCUCUUUUAGAAAAUUUAUGUACUUUGGUUAUUACCCCGUCUGACAUUUAAGUUGCAAAUAUUUUUUUCCCAUUUUGUCUUUGAUCUUUUUACUUGAUUUAUGGUAGUUCCUGACGGAGGCCACCAUUUUUAACUCAUUUAGUAGAUUUAUUUGCUGUUAACCUCCAUAUUUCUAAAUAACAAACAUAUACUGUUAUUUCUGAAUUUUUUGGUUUUAAGCACUGUCUAUUGGCCUUCCUUUUGGUAGAAGAGCGUACAGCGCCCUUUGAUCACAGACCCACUGCUCACAUACAUGCUUUCUGCACGACCAUCUUCCAAAAAUAGUAAUGGCAAUAGCGACUUGUGGUUCCCCAUCUGAGACUGACUUUGUAUGAACUAAAAGUUGAAUCUUUAGGGAAUAAUAAAGAUUUUUAAAGCCUCCUGUCAAAUAUUGAAAAAUUUAAAAAAGACAUGAUUCAUAGUCAAAUAAUUUAAUCUAAUCCUUUACAAAAGGAUUCGCUUCUCUGGAUUUAAAUGUUGGUUUCUACAUUACUAACUAGUGGACUAAGAGGCAGAGAAGUCAAAAUUGAAAUUGUUAGGUGGCAUUUCAAUUAAAGAAGAAAGAAUAUAUUUUCACACAUUCAACUUGAACACCACGUUUUCAGGAAUAGACCUAUCACAAAAAAUAAAACUUGUUUUUAGAAUAUGUAUUUAUCAGUAUCUCUUCUCUUAAUAAUCGUCCAUUUUGCCAAAAAGGUGAACCCCAAAUCCUUCCUGCAUUCUUGUGGGCCAUUGAAAAAAAUGAGGAUGUGUGUCCGUCUUGUGCCACCCCAUGACCUGGGCGGAAGAAAGGGGACGAGGGCAUUUUCCUCCAGCGGCCUCUGGGUGCCCGGCCUGCGGCAGCCUCUGCUUGGGACUCAGAACCCUCUCAGUUUGCUGGGAGCAGGCCUUGGUGUCACCACUGUCCUCUGUUAAGUGGAUUUAACCCUGAGAUUGAUGGAGAGCCAGCAGAGGAAAGUCCAACUGAAAGCCAAAGAUGCAAGUGAGGUUCUCAGCAUCACAGGUGCGGGAGGGGAGAGCCUGACCGGCCCGAAGUCUCCCCGGGUGCCCUUUCCUCCCCUUCCGAACAGCGCUCCCUCAGGGCACUGCUUCUCUAGCCUGCUGCACGGGAGACGCUCCUGACCAGUUGUACAAGGCACAGACCCCACUGCGGAGGCUCUGAUCCACCGCCGUGUGCUGUCUCAUCAGUGCAGCUAGUAAAGCCGAGCGGUGCCGGCACGCUCCAUAAACUCGUGUCAAACGUUAACUCAGAGCUAAUGGGCACAAAGGAAUAAACGCAUUAUCUCCGCCAGCUAACGUUGCCUUAUUCUUUUCAAAUUUAUUGUAGAAACUUUUCGACAUUCAUAAAAGUAGAGAAAAUAGUAUAAUAAUUUGUAUAGUAUAUAAUUUGCCUUUUGACAGAGGUGUUCUGGAGAGGAGAUGAGAGAAGGGACCCUGCUGCUGCUCAGAAUUCCAGGAGCCAGGGUCAGGGGGUCUGCGUGCCGCGUCAGGGAGCCUCUCCAAGGCAGCCCACGGGACAGUGGCUGCGAGAGACGCAGGUGAAGGGACCCAGUGCCCAGGCUCCCAGCGGCCAAGAACAGAGCAGGCAGCUGAAGAGGAGUGGCCCUGAAUACAGUGGAUGCCCCUGCCCCACCCAGGGCAGAGCCCGGCCCCAAGGAGGAGAGGCGGAGUGAGUGCCAGACAGCGUCCCUGGUCCCUGGCGCUGGGGCUGAGUCUCUCUGGGGUGCUGAGCUCUCCGAUGUGGAUUCUUAGAGCAGGAGGUCAUCCUGGUUUGCUCAGGUAACACUGUCCUUGACUUCCUUGGAGGGACAGUUGAAAUUUCCUCCAUUAAUUAUCGUCAGUUCACAAGAAAGUUUUGGUUUUUCUUUUAAGCUCAUUGUGGCUAUCAGAACUGCAAUAAGUUUCCUUGGCGUUUAAUGAAAUGAUGGCAGUGACUCACAGAGGUUAAACGCAUAGCAGAGCUUGCUAGUUUCCGGGAAGGCUGGCCCCUAGCGGGCUUAGUGGGCUUGACUGUGGCUAGGAGCCUGGAGAGAACGGCCCUGGGGCAGGGAGGGGAGCUCUUUAGUCGAUCCAUAGAGCUGAUGCGUGCAGGUGGGCAGCAUGAGGUGGCCACGGUGUCCAUUAUUUGUCCCUGAUGAUUAUCAUAUCCCCAACUCUGACCAGGUUCUUGGCACAUAGUGAGUGCUCAAUAAAUGUUUGUCGGAAGGAUAAAUGGAAGAGCUGGAUAGAACGUGGGACCUAAAGGUGGGAAACCUACUUCUCCUCUUGGGACUCUCAUGUAAACUGAGGUAGCUGGGCUGGUUGGUGUGUAAGGUCCCUGCAGCUCCUCUUUUAUGGUUCUGUGACGGUUUGGUUGCACAAUACCCUCCCCUACGCGGAGCUGUUGGGGCUAAAUGUCAUCCCUCUCCGGAGAUGUUUACAACAGGCCUUCUGAAGAGCAGCGCCAACCAGGGAGGAGCUCUCAUUCUGGAAAUUCAGAGCUAAAGGGGCCAGGAAAUUCACAGUCACGGACCUGAUUAGUUUUGUGGGGACAGAUUCUGAGCCAGAGUCCCAGUCAGCAGCCGGUAUCAGCGACUGCACCACAGGCCAUGUCUGGACGUCGUGAGCAGGACCAGGUUCUAGGCUGUGGUGGGGACGUGAGGUCGGGGAACCCAUCCUGAAAGGCAAUGCCCUCUCUGAGAGCCUCCCACACUGGCCACGCCCACGUGCCCUUCUAAAUUCACAUCUUCUCUUUAACAUAUUUCUACCUUCAGCAUCUGGGUGUCCUGACUGCCCCCAUGCCACGAGAGUCAUCGUAGAGCCAAAAACAUAUUUUUGAAGUACCAACUUAAAAUGGAAUUGUCAGUCAGUUUCUACAGUGAAGUUUUGAUGAAAAGAAGGAAGAUACUCUGGGCAAAGGAUCACACAGGAGGGUGGAUCUGAGUGAACAGUGUGUUGCAGAGACGCACAGAUUGAUUUUGUUUGUUUGGCUUUUAGUACCUACGCGGGUCCCAGCGCGGUACGGACACUCUCAAUUUCUCACUGCAACUCUGGAAAGCUAUGUUUAAAUUAUAACAUUUACUAGAUAUACACUAUAUGUUAUAAUAAAACUAUUUUAUUAUGCUUUUUCCUUUCUUAAUGGUCUGAGAUGAUUCAGAGAGGUUAUGUGACUGGCCCAAGGCUCCACACAGCCAGUCAGUGAGGAAGCAGGAUUCCAAG